RNAcentral lists this ribosomal RNA (284 nucleotides) under uncultured bacterium. Its description in RNAcentral is "partial 16S ribosomal RNA". It matches the Rfam family "Bacterial small subunit ribosomal RNA", at positions 526 to 793 of the family's 1533-position model. The record is from RNAcentral.
CGGAGGGUGCGAGCGUUAAUCGGAAUUACUGGGCGUAAAGACGCAUGCAGGCGGCCUCGUUAAGUUACAGAUGUGAAAGACCCGGGGCGUUAACCUCGGAAUUGUCAUUUGUAAACUAGGCAGGCUAGAGUCGUUGUAGAGGGGGGUAGGAAGUUUCAGGUGUAGCGGUGAAAUAGCGUAGAGAUCUGAAGGAAUACCAGUGGCGAAGGCGGCCCCCUCGGACAAAGACUGACGCUCAGAUGCGAAAGCGUGGGGGAGCAAACAGGAUUAGAUACCCCUGGUAG